Molecule: ribosomal RNA, 433 nt
Filed under: uncultured bacterium
Lineage: Bacteria
Description: partial 16S ribosomal RNA
Rfam family: Bacterial small subunit ribosomal RNA
Source: RNAcentral
AACGAACGCUGACGGCAGGCCUAACACAUGCAAGUCGAGCGCGCCCUUCGGGGUGAGCGGCGGACGGGUGAGUAACGCGUGGGAACGUGCCCUUCUCUGCGGAAUAGCCUCGGGAAACUGAGAAUAAUACCGCAUACGCCCUUUGGGGGAAAGAUUUAUCGGAGAAGGAUCGGCCCGCGUUGGAUUAGGUAGUUGGUGGGGUAAUGGCCCACCAAGCCGACGAUCCAUAGCUGGUUUGAGAGGAUGAUCAGCCACACUGGGACUGAGACACGGCCCAGACUCCUACGGGAGGCAGCAGUGGGGAAUCUUAGACAAUGGGGGCAACCCUGAUCUAGCCAUGCCGCGUGAGUGAUGAAGGCCUUAGGGUUGUAAAGCUCUUUCAGCUGGGAAGAUAAUGACGGUACCAGCAGAAGAAGCCCCGGCUAACUCCGUG